GCUUGCAAUUGUGCAUAGUGGGUUUUAAAAAAAAAUAUAAAAAAAAACCUUUCAUAUACGCGUUCACUCUUUGCUGUUUAUGAUAAUUUAUUGUUAAUGAUUUGAAUAUGUUUGACACCUGUUCUGUCUGAAAUCCUUUGACCUUUGGUCAAUGGUUAUUGCUCAACGAGUGUGCCCAUGAUGAUCGCUCACUGCACGGUGGACCUCACUGCCCACGUGACCAAGAGCAGGGACAAACAUUGUUCUGAGUAGUCUUCGAGGGCAGUAGACGUACAAACAAGAACAGGUUCCCGCCUGGAAAUUUGUCUUUGUUUCAAAUCCUGGUCCUGGUAUUUAAACGAAGAAAUCCCUUAUUCUUCACUCACCUGUGCUGAAACUGACAAUGACGAAAUAUUCAUGUAGCUGUAUGGGACAUCUGAACAAUUCAACGAAUGUUGAGUGAAGGCUAAAUCAUUGCAACUUGGGUCUUCAUUGGGGAACCAUGAUGCAGCAAAGGAAGAUAAUGAUAGAAGGAAGACAACCACCACUUCCCUUCUCAUCAUCAUCAUCAGCAGCAGCAGCAGCAGCAGCAGCAGCAUGACAUCAACAAUUUCAAUCAAAGUCUUGCGAGAUGUACUUUGUAAGUGUGUAUUAUUUUUAAUAUUAUUAUUAUAUUUAAAAAAGAUAAUUAUGCUACAUACAUGUUCAAGCGUGAUAUUAUACUGGUAUAUGUAUUUAUCCUGUAUCCAGCUUCUCUGACCAAUACUUGUUGUCUUUCCUUGCAUUUAUUGUUUACUUUUUUUUAGCUCACCUAAGCUAAAAGCACAAGUGAGGUAUUCUGAUCACUUUUUGUUCGACGUCCGUCUGUCUGUUCAUACGUCCAUAUGUACGUCUGUCUGUAAACUUUUUACAUUAAUGCAGAAAAACUGAAACUUGUGGAAUCAUCCUCAGGUAGUGUAAGAUUUAAGUUUGUAAGGUGGGGCUACAAAGGUGUAAUGAAUUCUUAAACUGGAAUGUAUAGAGAACAAUCUUUAAAAAUCUUCUUCUCAAAAUCCAAUUAGCCAGAAAAGCAAGUGUAUAUUCAAGUUUGUCAAAGUCAUGACUUCGGGGGUAGUAUGGGACCACAUUGGAGAGUUGAACUUAUUCUCCAAAAAUGUUAUAUUAAAUACAUGGUAUCAAAUGUACUUAUAUGCAAGCUUUUUGACACCAAGUGAACAUAUUGCUGAUUCUUAAAUGUUUAGUCAUGGGACCUUGGACAAUUCUUGGGCGAAUCUAGGUGAGCGAUAUGAUCUAUCAGCUUCUUUUUUUCAUAUAGUCUUCUUCCAAGGGAAUAAUUUAUUAAAUUAGUUAAUUCAAAUUCAAGUAGGUAUAUUUUCGCUACCCAUUAAAAAUAGUCCUAAUGAGAUAUAAGACACUCCAUUUUUGAGGUACUGUUUUUUUUUAUAUAAAGAAAAUAAUAAACUUUAACAACUUUGCUACCUUAUCUUUCAUAGUCUUGUUGACUUACAGCGAGACGUAUUUUGUUAAAUAGCCUUUGAUCUUAAGGUGAUGAGUUCAAAACUGAUAAACAUGCUAAGUUUUACAAUUUUUUCAAGAGAGAGUUGCACGAGAGCCCGGUUUUUUUAAAAGUGUCAUGUUGUAAAUUUUGAAUUUACUGGGUGGGGGUAUUGUCAUGUUGUACAUUUUGUAUUUACACCCACCCAGUAAAUUCAAAAUUUACAACAUGACAAAAAACCCACGACAAUUUUUAUUUUCACCACA
Molecule: long non-coding RNA, 1740 nt
Organism: Magallana angulata
Lineage: Eukaryota; Metazoa; Mollusca; Bivalvia; Ostreida; Ostreidae
Exons: 3
Source: RefSeq, a predicted model, not a curated record